Molecule: unclassified non-coding RNA, 333 nt
Filed under: Hevea brasiliensis (rubber tree)
Lineage: Eukaryota; Viridiplantae; Streptophyta; Magnoliopsida; Malpighiales; Euphorbiaceae
Source: RNAcentral
GUCAAUUACAAAUUUAAGUGACAAGCAAUUGUCUUUGAACCUUGGCCAAUUGUUGGAUAGAUGCAUCUAAUGCACAUAUUUCUUUCAGUGAUGCCCCUUUUUCUUGGAGAUUAAAUAUCAUUAAACAAGAUAGUCAUAAUGUCUUUUGCUCUUGCAAUUUGAUGCAUUUUGCUAGGAGUGGAAAAAGUAGUUUAACUUGUAAAGCCUACGGCAAUAAUAAUGAGAGUGUUUGGUUUGACAUAUAAGUAAGUCAAAUCUAAUAAGUAUCAAGUUACAUAUAGAUUAGUGUUUAGUUUGACUCAUAAGUAAAAGAUACUUAAAAUAAAGCAGAAG